AGAGAGAGACAUGCGCGCAUAUCAAUAAGCGGAGGAAAAGAAACUAACAAGGAUUCCCUUAGUAACGGCGAGUGAAGCGGGAAGAGCUCAAAUUUGAAAUCUUCAAGGUUUUACCUUGACGAAUUGUAGUUUAAAGAAGUGUUUUCUGCUGAAGUUUUGGUAAAAGUUCUUUGGAAUAGGACAUCAUAGAGGGUGAGAAUCCCGUAUUUGACCAUUAUUUUCAGCUUUGUGAUACACUUUCAAAGAGUCGGAUUGUUUGGGAAUGCAGUCCAAAAUGGGUGGUAAAUUUCAUCUAAAGCUAAAUAUUGGCGAGAGACCGAUAGCGAACAAGUACCGUGAGGGAAAGAUGAAAAGAACUUUGAAAAGAGAGUUAAACAGUACGUGAAAUUGUCAAAAGGGGAAGCGUUUGACACCAGUGUUGUUUUCUCGAAAAUCAAUUAAAAAUGGCUCGAUUUUGUAUUGUUGAGACCUUAAAAGCUCACUGUACAUUUUUCGUGUCUUUUUUAAUGCACUUUUCGUUUAACAAGUCAACAUCAGUUUCUUUUGUUGUAAAAGGGUCAUUGGAAGGUGGCUUUCUUUUCGGAGAAAGUGUUUAUAGCCUUUGGCCUCUGCAAUCGGAGAGACUGAGGUCUGCAGCGUAGACUCUUCGGGGUUAGAUACAUUUGUGCUAAGUUAUAGCUUUUUAUAGACAACUUGUUGACUAUAAUUAGUCUUGUAGCUUACUCGCUUAUGCUAUUUUACCUACGCUUAGGAUGUUGAAGAUGUAGCACAUCAU
Molecule: ribosomal RNA, 775 nt
Filed under: uncultured Neocallimastigales
Lineage: Eukaryota; Fungi; Neocallimastigomycota; Neocallimastigomycetes; Neocallimastigales
Description: partial large subunit ribosomal RNA
Rfam family: Eukaryotic large subunit ribosomal RNA
Source: RNAcentral